This 73-nucleotide transfer RNA is filed under the name Diaphorina citri (Asian citrus psyllid). It matches the Rfam family "tRNA". From Rfam's summary of the family: Transfer RNA (tRNA) molecules are approximately 80 nucleotides in length. Their secondary structure includes four short double-helical elements and three loops (D, anti-codon, and T loops). Further hydrogen bonds mediate the characteristic L-shaped molecular structure. tRNAs have two regions of fundamental functional importance: the anti-codon, which is responsible for specific mRNA codon recognition, and the 3' end, to which the tRNAs corresponding amino acid is attached (by aminoacyl-tRNA synthetases). tRNAs cope with the degeneracy of the genetic code in two manners: having more than one tRNA (with a specific anti-codon) for a particular amino acid; and 'wobble' base-pairing, i.e. permitting non-standard base-pairing at the 3rd anti-codon position. Lineage: Eukaryota; Metazoa; Arthropoda; Insecta; Hemiptera; Psyllidae. The record is from Rfam by way of RNAcentral.
GCUUAGUAAGCUUAGUUGGUAGUGCGUCUGCCUUGUAAGCGCUAGGCCGCGGGUUCGAUUCCCGCCCGGGGCG